This 293-nucleotide ribosomal RNA is filed under the name Agrocybe paludosa. Its description in RNAcentral is "partial small subunit ribosomal RNA". It matches the Rfam family "Bacterial small subunit ribosomal RNA", at positions 479 to 708 of the family's 1533-position model. Lineage: Eukaryota; Fungi; Basidiomycota; Agaricomycetes; Agaricales; Agrocybaceae. The record is from RNAcentral.
CCUUACUAUAAGUGUUGUCUAAAUUACUGGUGCCAGAAGACUCGGUAACACCAGAAACGCGAACGUUAGUCGUCUUAAACAGGCGUAAAGAGUGAGUAGGCUGCUUACAAAUUUUUAAUUUAAUAUAAGCAGAGUAAAUUAACAGAAAAAUUCCCUUAAAAAAGGCUAGAAACAAAGAACCUGUUAUUUUAUAAUUUAAUUAAAUUAAAGAAAAUAAAAGCUAGAAUCUUAUUGAGGAUAAACCAAAUAAUACUUAGUGUAGGGAUGAUAUCCUCAGGAUACUAAGUAGAAUA